CGGAGGGUGCGAGCGUUGUUCGGAAUUACUGGGCGUAAAGAGUGCGUAGGCGUUCGGCAAGCUGGAAGUGAAAUCCCGGGGCUCAACCUCGGAAUUGCUUUCAAAACUGCCGAUCUAGAGUAUGGUAGGGGAUAGUGGAAUUCCUAGUGUAGGGGUGAAAUCCGUAGAUAUUAGGAGGAACACCAGAGGCGAAGGCGACUAUCUGGGCCAUUACUGACGCUAAGGUACGAAAGCGUGGGGAGCAAACAGGAUUAGAUACCCUGGUAGUCCACGCUGUAAACGAUGGGUGCUAGUUAUUGGGACUUUAAGUUUCGGUGACGUAGCUAACGCGUUAAGCACCCCGCCUGGGGAGUACGGUCGCAAGAUUA
This 368-nucleotide ribosomal RNA is filed under the name uncultured organism. RNAcentral's name for it is "bacterial SSU rRNA". It matches the Rfam family "Bacterial small subunit ribosomal RNA", at positions 526 to 896 of the family's 1533-position model. The record is from RNAcentral.